This 181-nucleotide non-coding RNA is filed under the name Rhodocyclus gracilis. RNAcentral describes it as "6S RNA". It matches the Rfam family "6S / SsrS RNA". From Rfam's summary of the family: E. coli 6S RNA was the first non coding RNA to be sequenced, but its function was unknown until recently. It consists of 184 nucleotides that fold into an extended hairpin structure with a large single-stranded internal bulge. The 6S RNA specifically associates with RNA polymerase holoenzyme containing the sigma70 specificity factor. The record is from RNAcentral. Lineage: Bacteria; Pseudomonadati; Pseudomonadota; Betaproteobacteria; Rhodocyclales; Rhodocyclaceae.
UGUUCCCUGCGGUGUUCGUCAAGGCCAUAUAUUCCUUGAACCAAUGCUACUAGGCGUCGGUUGCUGACCGUUGAAACUGCUGUUGUGCCUGCCCUUCGUCGGGUGGACCUGAAGCAGGAGGAAAGCAGCCAAUCUGAACCCAGGUUCAGGAUGCCGGCCUAACGGCACAGGUGGGGAGCCA